AGCUGUGAUGGGGAGAAGACAUUGUGUCUUCGAGUCGUUGAUUUCACACUGCCGAGAAAAGCCUCUAGAUAGAAAAUAGGUGCCCGUACCGCAAACCGACACAGGUAGUCAAGAUGAGAAUUCUAAGGUGAGCGAGCGAACUCUCGUUAAGGAACUCGGCAAAAUGACCCCGUAACUUCGGGAGAAGGGGUGCUCUUUAGGGUUAACGCCCAGAAGAGCCGCAGUGAAUAGGCCCAAGCGACUGUUUAUCAAAAACACAGGUCUCUGCUAAACCGUAAGGUGAUGUAUAGGGGCUGACGCCUGCCCGGUGCUGGAAGGUUAAGAGGAGUGGUUAGCUUCUGCGAAGCUACGAAUCGAAGCCCCAGUAAACGGCGGCCGUAACUAUAACGGUCCUAAGGUAGCGAAAUUCCUUGUCGGGUAAGUUCCGACCCGCACGAAAGGCGUAACGAUUUGGGCACUGUCUCAACGAGAGACUCGGUGAAAUCAUAGUACCUGUGAAGAUGCAGGUUACCCGCGACAGGACGGAAAGACCCCGUGGAGCUUUACUGUAGCCUGAUAUUGAAAUUCGGCACAGCUUGUACAGGAUAGGUAGGAGCCUUUGAAACGUGAGCGCUAGCUUACGUGGAGGCGCUGGUGGGAUACUACCCUAGCUGUGUUGGCUUUCUAACCCGCACCACU
This 678-nucleotide ribosomal RNA is filed under the name Staphylococcus aureus. RNAcentral's name for it is "partial 23S ribosomal RNA". It matches the Rfam family "Bacterial large subunit ribosomal RNA", at positions 1559 to 2236 of the family's 2925-position model. Lineage: Bacteria; Bacillati; Bacillota; Bacilli; Caryophanales; Staphylococcaceae. The record is from RNAcentral.